UACGUAGGGUGCAAGCGUUGUCCGGAUUUAUUGGGCGUAAAGAGCUCGUAGGCGGUUCGACAAGUCGGGUGUGAAAACUCCGGGCUCAACCCGGAGACGCCACCCGAUACUGUCGUGACUGGAGUCCGGUAGGGGAGUGGGGAAUUCCUGGUGUAGCGGUGGAAUGCGCAGAUAUCAGGAGGAACACCGGUGGCGAAGGCGCCACUCUGGGCCGGUACUGACGCUGAGGAGCGAAAGCGUGGGUAGCAAACAGG
This 254-nucleotide ribosomal RNA is filed under the name uncultured bacterium. Its description in RNAcentral is "partial 16S ribosomal RNA". It matches the Rfam family "Bacterial small subunit ribosomal RNA", at positions 524 to 776 of the family's 1533-position model. The record is from RNAcentral.